UCACGGGGGCCCGCAAGGGUAACCGGCGAACGGGUGCGUAACACGUGAGCAACCUACCACUGUGUGAGGCAUAGCCGGCCUAACGGCCGGGUAAUUCCGCAUACGACCUUCUGGAGACAUCUCUGGGAGAGGAAACGAGUAAUCGGCACGGUGAGGGGCUCGCGGCCUAUCAUCUANUUGGCGGGGUAAUAGCCCACCAAGGCAAUGACGGGUAGCUGGUCUGAGAGGAUGGCCANCCACAUUGGGACUGAGAAACGGCCCANACUCCUACGGGAGGCAGCAGUGGGGAAUCUUGCGCAAUGGCCUAACGGCUGACGCAGCGACGCCGCGUGAGGGAUGACGCUCUUCGGAGUGUAAACCUCUGUUGCCCGGGACNAAUAGCGGAUUAUUCCGACUUGACGGUACCGGGUGAGGAAGCACCGGCUAACUCCGUGCCAGCAGCCGCGGUAAU
Molecule: ribosomal RNA, 451 nt
Filed under: uncultured bacterium
Lineage: Bacteria
Description: bacterial SSU rRNA
Rfam family: Bacterial small subunit ribosomal RNA
Source: RNAcentral